GGCGGCAGCUACACAUGCAGUCGAGCGGUAGCACAGAGAGCUUGCUCUCGGGUGACGAGCGGCGGACGGGUGAGUAAUGUCUGGGAAACUGCCUGAUGGAGGGGGAUAACUACUGGAAACGGUAGCUAAUACCGCAUAACGUCGCAAGACCAAAGUGGGGGACCUUCGGGCCUCAUGCCAUCAGAUGUGCCCAGAUGGGAUUAGCUAGUAGGUGGGGUAAUGGCUCACCUAGGCGACGAUCCCUAGCUGGUCUGAGAGGAUGACCAGCCACACUGGAACUGAGACACGGUCCAGACUCCUACGGGAGGCAGCAGUGGGGAAUAUUGCACAAUGGGCGCAAGCCUGAUGCAGCCAUGCCGCGUGUAUGAAGAAGGCCUUCGGGUUGUAAAGUACUUUCAGCGAGGAGGAAGGCGUUAAGGUUAAUAACCUUAGCGAUUGACGUUACUCGCAGAAGAAGCACCGGCUAACUCCGUGCCAGCAGCCGCGGUAAUACGGAGGGUGCAAGCGUUAAUCGGAAUUACUGGGCGUAAAGCGCACGCAGGCGGUCUGUCAAGUCGGAUGUGAAAUCCCCGGGCUCAACCUGGGAACUGCAUUCGAAACUGGCAGGCUAGAGUCUUGUAGAGGGGGGUAGAAUUCCAGGUGUAGCGGUGAAAUGCGUAGAGAUCUGGAGGAAUACCGGUGGCGAAGGCGGCCCCCUGGACAAAGACUGACGCUCAGGUGCGAAAGCGUGGGGAGCAAACAGGAUUAGAUACCCUGGUAGUCCACGCCGUAAACGAUGUCGACUUGGAGGUUGUGCCCUUGAGGCGUGGCUUCCGGAGCUAACGCGUUAAGUCGACCGCCUGGGGAGUACGGCCGCAAGGUUAAAACUCAAAUGAAUUGACGGGGGCCCGCACAAGCGGUGGAGCAUGUGGUUUAAUUCGAUGCAACGCGAAGAACCUUACCUACUCUUGACAUCCAGAGAACUUAGCAGAGAUGCUUUGGUGCCUUCGGGAACUCUGAGACAGGUGCUGCAUGGCUGUCGUCAGCUCGUGUUGUGAAAUGUUGGGUUAAGUCCCGCAACGAGCGCAACCCUUAUCCUUUGUUGCCAGCGGUCCGGCCGGGAACUCAAAGGAGACUGCCAGUGAUAAACUGGAGGAAGGUGGGGAUGACGUCAAGUCAUCAUGGCCCUUACGAGUAGGGCUACACACGUGCUACAAUGGCAUAUACAAAGAGAAGCGACCUCGCGAGAGCAAGCGGACCUCAUAAAGUAUGUCGUAGUCCGGAUUGGAGUCUGCAACUCGACUCCAUGAAGUCGGAAUCGCUAGUAAUCGUAGAUCAGAAUGCUACGGUGAAUACGUUCCCGGGCCUUGUACACACCGCCCGUCACACCAUGGGAGUGGGUUGCAAAAGAAGUAGGUAGCUUAACCUUCGGGAGGGCGCUACCACUUGAUCUU
Molecule: ribosomal RNA, 1433 nt
Filed under: Klebsiella aerogenes
Lineage: Bacteria; Pseudomonadati; Pseudomonadota; Gammaproteobacteria; Enterobacterales; Enterobacteriaceae
Description: bacterial SSU rRNA
Rfam family: Bacterial small subunit ribosomal RNA
Source: RNAcentral